RNAcentral lists this ribosomal RNA (253 nucleotides) under uncultured bacterium. RNAcentral describes it as "partial 16S ribosomal RNA". It matches the Rfam family "Bacterial small subunit ribosomal RNA", at positions 524 to 776 of the family's 1533-position model. The record is from RNAcentral.
UACGUAGGGGGCUAGCGUUGUCCGGAAUCAUUGGGCGUAAAGAGCGUGUAGGCGGCCCGGUAAGUCCGCUGUGAAAGUCAAAGGCUCAACCUUUGAAAGCCGGUGGAUACUGUGGGACUAGAGUACGGAAGAGGCGAGUGGAAUUCCUGGCGUAGCGGUGGAAUGCGCAGAUAUCAGGAGGAACACCAAUAGCGAAGGCAGCUCGCUGGGACGUUACUGACACUGAGGCGCGAAAGCGUGGGGAGCGAACAGG